CUUCAGCGACCCGAGGUACAGCGGCCGCUCCACCGCGCGCUCCCGGCCGUAGGUCGCGAUCAGGGCCUGGGCCUC
RNAcentral lists this antisense RNA (75 nucleotides) under Streptomyces auratus AGR0001. RNAcentral describes it as "ASpks TB sRNA". It matches the Rfam family "ASpks TB sRNA". Lineage: Bacteria; Bacillati; Actinomycetota; Actinomycetes; Kitasatosporales; Streptomycetaceae. The record is from Rfam by way of RNAcentral.